ACAAGUACCGUGAGGGAAAGUUGCAAAGCACUUUGAAGAGAGAGUUAAAGAGGACGUGAAACCGGUGGGGUGGAAACGGAUAGAGCCGGCGUAUCUGACAUGUAUUCAACCGCUAAACUAUCGCGUUUCGGACUUUGAUCUCCAGAUUGGGCACUGUUCGAUUCCUUGAUGGUGGUGUGGUGCAUUUGCAUGUGGAGUGCGUAGAGGCGUCAGGGAUUGAGGUGUGAUCUCUGUUUUGAGGCCCGCUUGCUGGUACCCAAACUUUGGCAGCACCUUUUGUUCCGGACGUUUUAUUUGCAAGGCUUACGAGCUCUAUUGGGGCUCGAACUGGGGGUCGGUUACGGUCGCAUGCGACACGUGCCGUUCAACCAGUUCGGUCCUGGUCGAGCUCCCGUGCAGUCUCUCUGCGUAAAAGCCGGUCACCUAUCCGACCCGUCUUGAAACACGGACCAAGGAGUUUAUCGUGUGCGAGAGUCAUUGGGCUUUCAAAACUCAAAGACGAAAUGAAAGUGAAUGUCCUCGCAAGAGGCUGACGUGUGAUUCCCUUUUUUUGAGGUGGGGAAGCAGCAUGGCCCCAUUCUGACUGCUUGCAGUGGGGUGGAGGAAGAGCGCAUGCGGUGAGACCCGAAAGAUGGUGAACUAUUCCUGAGCAGGAUGAAGCCAGAGGAAACUCUGGUGGAAGUCCGAAGCGGUUCUGACGUGCAAAUCGAUCGUCUGACUUGGGUAUAGGGGCGAAAGACUAAUCGAACCAUCUAGUAGCUGGUUCCUUCCGA
This 773-nucleotide ribosomal RNA is filed under the name Meloidogyne mali. RNAcentral's name for it is "eukaryotic LSU rRNA". It matches the Rfam family "Eukaryotic large subunit ribosomal RNA", at positions 344 to 964 of the family's 3401-position model. The record is from RNAcentral. Lineage: Eukaryota; Metazoa; Nematoda; Chromadorea; Rhabditida; Meloidogynidae.